UAACUACUCCCUCCGUUUUAAAUUACUCGUCGUAGAAAUGAAUGUAUCUAGAACUAAAAUACAUCUAGAUAUAUCCAUUUCUACGAUGAGUAAUUCAAAACGGAGGGAGUAGUAA
Triticum aestivum (bread wheat) is the source of this 115-nucleotide non-coding RNA. The record is from Rfam. Lineage: Eukaryota; Viridiplantae; Streptophyta; Magnoliopsida; Poales; Poaceae.